Molecule: ribosomal RNA, 363 nt
Filed under: Hypnea sp.
Lineage: Eukaryota; Rhodophyta; Florideophyceae; Gigartinales; Hypneaceae
Description: SSU rRNA
Rfam family: Eukaryotic small subunit ribosomal RNA
Source: RNAcentral
CAGCCAGCAGCUGCGGUAAUUCCAGCUCUGUAAGCGUAUACCAAAGUUGUUGCAGUUAAAACGCUCGUAGUCGGACCUUGGCGGGCGACCAGGGGCGUCUUCACGGACGUGUUUUGGUUGGCCGCCUUUGUGGAGGGGGGCCCAGUGGUGCUUCACUGCGCUACUGUGGUCGCUGCCACCUUUUACUGUGAAAAAAUUAGAGUGUUCAAAGCGGGCGUUUGCCAUGAAUACAUUAGCAUGGAAUAAUAGAAUAGGACCUGUUUCCUGUUUUGUUGGUUUGUGAGGAUCGGGUAAUGAUUAAGAGGGACGGUUGGGGGCAUUUGUAUUCCGGCGUCAGAGGUGAAAUUCUUGGAUUGUCGGAAG